This 375-nucleotide ribosomal RNA is filed under the name uncultured Adhaeribacter sp. RNAcentral's name for it is "bacterial SSU rRNA". It matches the Rfam family "Bacterial small subunit ribosomal RNA", at positions 538 to 915 of the family's 1533-position model. Lineage: Bacteria; Pseudomonadati; Bacteroidota; Cytophagia; Cytophagales; Hymenobacteraceae. The record is from RNAcentral.
GCGUUGUCCGGAUUUAUUGGGUUUAAAGGGUGCGUAGGCGGUCUUUUAAGUCAGUGGUGAAAGCCAGCAGCUCAACUGUUGAACUGCCAUUGAUACUGGAAGACUCGAGUACAGACGAGGUAGGCGGAAUUUAUGGUGUAGCGGUGAAAUGCAUAGAUACCAUAAAGAACACCGAUUGCGAAGGCGGCUUACUAGGCUGUAACUGACGCUGAGGCACGAAAGCGUGGGGAUCAAACAGGAUUAGAUACCCUGGUAGUCCACGCCGUAAACGAUGAUUACUCGAUGUUCGCGAUAUACAGUGAGCGUCCAAGCGAAAGCGUUAAGUAAUCCACCUGGGAAGUACGAUCGCAAGAUUGAAACUCAAAGGAAUUGACG